AGGUUAACCGUAUAGGGGAGCCGUAGGGAAACCGAGUCUUAACUGGGCGAAUGAGUUGCAGGGUAUAGACCCGAAACCCGGUGAUCUAUCCAUGGGCAGGUUGAAGGUUGGGUAACACUAACUGGAGGACCGAACCGACUAAUGUUGAAAAAUUAGCGGAUGACUUGUGGAUGGGGGUGAAAGGCCAAUCAAACCGGGAGAUAGCUGGUUCUCCCCGAAAGCUAUUUAGGUAGCGCCUCGUGAACUCAUCUUCGGGGGUAGAGCACUGUUUCGACUAGGGGGUCAUCCCGACUUACCAACUCGAUGCAAACUGCGAAUACCGAAGAAUGUUAUCACGGGAGACACACGGCGGGUGCUAACGUCCGUCGUGAAGAGGGAAACAACCCAGACCGCCAGCUAAGGUCCCAAAGUCAUGGUUAAGUGGGAAACGAAGUGGGAAGGCUCAGACAGCCAGGAUGUUGGCUUAGAAGCAGCCAUCAUUUAAAGAAAGCGUAAUAGCUCACUGGUCGAGUCGGCCCGCGCGGAAGAUGUAACGGGGCUAAACCAUGCACCGAAGCUGCGGCAGCGACACAUAGUGUUGUUGGGUAGGGGAGCGUUCUGUAAGCCUGCGAAGGUGUACUGUGAGGUAUGCUGGAGGUAUCAGAAGUG
Molecule: ribosomal RNA, 648 nt
Filed under: Proteus mirabilis
Lineage: Bacteria; Pseudomonadati; Pseudomonadota; Gammaproteobacteria; Enterobacterales; Morganellaceae
Description: partial 23S ribosomal RNA
Rfam family: Bacterial large subunit ribosomal RNA
Source: RNAcentral